This 217-nucleotide ribosomal RNA is filed under the name uncultured bacterium. RNAcentral describes it as "partial 16S ribosomal RNA". It matches the Rfam family "Bacterial small subunit ribosomal RNA", at positions 125 to 334 of the family's 1533-position model. The record is from RNAcentral.
CCGUACCCAUCAGAGGGGGAUAACACUUGGAAACAGGUGCUAAUACCGCAUAACAGUUUAUGCCGCAUGGCAUAAGAGUGAAAGGCGCUUUCGGGUGUCGCUGAUGGAUGGACCCGCGGUGCAUUAGCUAGUUGGUGAGGUAACGGCUCACCAAGGCCACGAUGCAUAGCUGACCUGAGAGGGUGAUCGGCCACACUGGGACUGAGACACGGCCCAG